Long non-coding RNA from Erinaceus europaeus (western European hedgehog), 1951 nucleotides. RefSeq lists it as uncharacterized. NCBI's taxonomy places the organism in Eukaryota, Metazoa, Chordata, Mammalia, Eulipotyphla, Erinaceidae. The transcript is spliced from 2 exons. The record is from RefSeq and is a predicted model, not a curated record.
UUUCCUUGACAACUUCAGACCCUUCCCUUUGGGGCCAAGCAGCAAGAACAAGAGUGGUAAAGUUGCAGAGGGGUCUGCGGGGGCGUGUGUGAUUUCUGCUAGAUCACAGAGCGCUGAAGACUCCGGAUCUCUGGGACUUGGUGGGCAGCUACACAAAAGCAUCGUCUGACCUCGAUAUGACAAAAGGUGACCGGAGAAAUACAGGGAGUGACGGGGUCAAAAGUCUUCUCUGCCCACGGGGGCAAAAGUCUUCUCUGCCCACGGGGUCUGUCUCAGGGCUCUGCUCUGCCUGCAGCCAAGAUUAACUUGAAUUGGUGACUUGAGUAUAGACUGACUUCGGCCAAGUCAGAGCAGCCUGAUCUGUGCCUGGAUAGUUUGGGCGACACUGCCGUAUUUGAGCCACUGCUUGACCACUUUAUUGCACAAGCAAAGCCGCUGCUCCAGCCCCUCCUCGAGGACAAACCUAGUCUUACCUGUCCGGUGGGAAAAUGCACCUUUAUGGUGCCAUACAUGAAAAAUGUGACACCUAGGGUUUUCAACUCCGCCUACAUUAAACUUGAGCCCGCCAAGUCACAGCUCCAGGAUGUGUGAGAAUAGUGGUCCAAGUGCACCAGCGGCAACUCUACCAGCUCAGACCAAAGCACUUCUCAGAGCUGAAACCAAGGGGGAAACUGUCUAGGCAUAGUUUGCUGCAGUCACACUAUUGGCCUCUUUAUGGAACAAAAUGACCCUUCUUGGGCAGGUAGGUAAACUACUUUAAGCAUGUGGAGACACCUCAUUGUCCCAGGACUACUUCAUUAUUAACAGGCAAAACUCAAAAAAUGCAGAGUAAACAUCUUCCCCUAGGGGGAAUGCAAGAUGAACACUCAGAGCCUAACAGCAACCUGUCUGGCUUUCCCCAGAUAGGAUUAAGGAAUCUGAAAAGGUUUGCCAUAAAUGACCAUCAAUUUAAGUUCCCUCAGGAGUUUCAACCAGACUUAAGUAACCAGGAAAUCCAGAAGUUAGACUGGACAGUGACAAGAAGACAUUCUAGAAGUAGGAUGCAUAAGACUAAACCAAAGGAAAAAGAAAUGUCAAGGCCUAGCAUUUAAAGACCCAGAUGCUUGUCAGCAUUCAAUAAACGUCUAUGAAAUAAAUGAACGCUUAACACACUAACAUCAUAUGCUGCUCUCAAGAAGAACAUGAAAAUACUUUCGUCACAGCAAACUUUAAUUUUCUGUUCAGUAAUUGGACUUCUCAAUUAUUAUCAUUUUCCUAGUCCUCUCCUUCAGAAAGUACUUACACUGCAAAUUUAGAAGUCAGUGCAUUUACUAUAUUGAUAAUUAAAACCAAUUACAUGUAUUUCAAAAGGGACAAGAUUUUCUAAGGGCCUUAACACUCCCUGGUUUACAAAGGAAUGUGCAUUUUAAGAUGUCAAAUUAAUGGACUUGAAUGGUAUUAAGAAAUUAUUUAUUGACUAGAUAUCUAGAAAUAAUGUACCUUUCAAAACUGCCUACUCUUGUGAUUAAGGAUGAACUUGGGAAUAAUGAGAAUCUGCUUAAUUAAUUUCACCUGUAAUUUUUGCUCAUUGAACUAAAUAUUCUGACUUAGUGUUACAUACUAUUUACUAUUUACUUUCAACAGGGAUGUUUUCAUUAGAACCUGUAUGAAUCAAAGCCAAGAAAACAAACUGCUUUGUCCUUAAUUUCCAGAUGAAAACCAUCUCUCCCUACUCUAGCCACUGAAAUCCUAUAGUCAAAUCCAGCCUCAGGACAUAAGCAAGAAAGCAAUGGAAUAACAUUUAAAGGAAUUCCAGAUAGCCCUGGUUGACUCCAAAAUGACCUGAUUGUUUGGUCCUUUGGUCUAAGUUGGGUGUAGAUAUCCCCAGGCUACUCUUUCUAAACAGCUCUCCCUCAUUUCACUGUGGUUUUUGUCUUGCUUCCCAUCUAUAAUAAAACUAAAUUUUAUGCUA